This 349-nucleotide unclassified non-coding RNA is filed under the name soil metagenome. RNAcentral describes it as "partial contains 5.8S ribosomal RNA, internal transcribed spacer 2, and large subunit ribosomal RNA". The stretch from base 1 to 120 matches the Rfam family "5.8S ribosomal RNA", at positions 35 to 154 of the family's 154-position model. The record is from RNAcentral.
GAUGAAGAACGUAGCGAAAUGCGAUAAGUAAUGUGAAUUGCAGAAUUCAGUGAAUCAUCGAAUCUUUGAACGCACAUUGCGCCCGGCAGUAAUCUGCCGGGCAUGCCUGUCCGAGCGUCAUUUCACCCCUCGAGCCGCUUUUAGUGGAUCGGUGUUGAGGCACUACGGUAAAACGUAGGCCCUGAAAUGAAGUGGCGGUCCCGCCGCGGUGCCCCCAUGCGUAGUAACGUUUAGUCUCGCAUCGGGUCCCGGCGGAGGCCUGCCGUCAAGCCUAUUUAUUCUCAGAAUAGUUUGACCUCGGAUCAGGUAGGGUUACCCGCUGAACUUAAGCAUAUCAAUAAGCGGAGGA